GACGAACGCUGGCGGCGUGCUUAACACAUGCAAGUCGAACGGAAAGGCCCUGCUUUUGUGGGGUGCUCGAGUGGCGAACGGGUGAGUAACACGUGAGUAACCUGCCCUUGUCUUUGGGAUAACUUCAGGAAACUGGGGCUAAUCCCGUACAGGAGCUCCUGCUGCAUGGUGGGGGUUGGAAAGUUUCGGCGGUUGGGGAUGGACUCGCGGCUUAUCAGCUUGUUGGUGGGGUAGUGGCUUACCAAGGCUUUGACGGGUAGCCGGCCUGAGAGGGUGACUGGCCACAUUGGGACUGAGAUACGGCCCAGACUCCUACGGGAGGCAGCAGUGGGGAAUAUUGCACAAUGGGCGGAAGCCUGAUGCAGCAACGCCGCGUGCGGGAUGACGGCCUUCGGGUUGUAAACCGCAUUCGCCUGUGACGAAGCGUGAGUGACGGUAAUGGGUAAAGAAGCACCGGCUAACUACGUG
Molecule: ribosomal RNA, 468 nt
Filed under: uncultured bacterium
Lineage: Bacteria
Description: partial 16S ribosomal RNA
Rfam family: Bacterial small subunit ribosomal RNA
Source: RNAcentral